AUUUUGGUAGGUUUCCGCGGGCGGAAAUUAGUUCGCCUGGCAUGUUGAUAUCAAUGGAAAGUCGUGUUUGUUUCUUAGGUGACCAAGUCCGUACAAAUUCUGGAAGCUUCCGUCUGGCGCGAAGUAGCCCGCCUGGCGGAUUGAUACAUGUGGAGAGUUGUGUUCGUUCUUUAGAUGAGCAAGACCAGGACGCCGUAUUUUAAUUGAAGACGCAGUAUUAAUCUAUCCAAGUUUUUGUGAAAAUAUAAGGCGGCUGGGCGGCACUUUUUGAUGGAUUGUUAAUGUUUUUCAACUUUACAAUAGACGGUCGCUAUGGUGAGCUGAGUCACACCGAGGAUGUUUGUCUUACGAGCUGAUGAGGAAGUUCGAUGAAGAACCGAGACAAUAAAUGUCCAGAGACAAGAACAGCUGCCACAGACUGUGGGAGUUUUUCUGUGUCUGGACAUGAGAGGAUGACGAGGGAAUGUGAUCAAGAGCUGAGACCAUGAGAUAUACAGAAACCUGGAAGGUGUUCACUCGGAUGCUGUGCUGGGAUGUCUGAAGACUUUGCCUUAGUUCCGGUUGCAGGUAAGGAUUCAAGAUUAUCUGCAUCAUCCACAGUUGUGCACAACAGUCUUCAGAUGCAAAAUUUGCAGCUGUAGCUGUAUCUGAUGUAAUGAGGCAGAGUGGGAUAGAUAUUGUAGGAGUUUUCUAAUCCUGGAGCCUGCCUAAAUUGUUGCAUCAUGGCACCUCUGUUACAAAGAGCUAUCAGUUAAUGUCUUUUUAUUGUGAGAAGAAUGUGAAGCAAAUACUCUACAGGGAAAGUGCAAGAGACAUUAGAUAAUCCAUUAGGAGGUACAAAUACAAGUAGUAACCACUGCAUUGUAAAGAGUUUAACAUACAUUCUGUGACACAAUGCAGUUAAUUUUUGAAGUAAAAAAGUGAGCCCUCCAGUUCCAUGAGAGAGUUGUCAUGGUACAGUAAAAUUGUGUUAUCAAUGCAUACAGAAGACAACAUAUGUUUAAGGGAGCAGUGAAUUAGGUACUUUUACUCAUAACUUUUAACCAGUUGAGUAAUUUGUAAAUUUGAAAGAAAGAAGAGACAUUAUUAGCUUGAAUGUAUCAUUACACCUUCCAAGGUAGGAACAUGAAGGGAAUUAUGUACUUAAGCUUGUUUCUUUAUAUCACAGGUAAUAGAGUGUAUAGAAUUUGCAUAUGUCCUUUUCAUUUUUCUUUAUGUGUGCUGGUGAAGAUCACAAUCUUCCAGGAUGUGAUUCCAUGUAGUUUGCAAUGAAAGGACCAACAUUUCAGAUGAACCUGGUGUGUCUAUUUUCUCUUUGUACACUUAAGAUGUAGGCAACAGGUGUAUACCAGACAACUUGGUGUCACAUUCCACAAGACUAAUUUUUAUAUUCACAGCAAUGAGAGCCUCAAAUUCUCAAUAUUUUUUGAGAGCAUAUUACAGUGUAACAUGUUCUGUCUACUGAAGACUUUGUUCAGAUUGUUAAUCGGUUUUAUUAACAACCCAUAAGUCUUAAUUACAAUUAAUUAUAAUACUGUUGUGGGUUUACACAAUUUACAAACCCUAAACACUAACCUCU
Molecule: long non-coding RNA, 1579 nt
Organism: Cryptotermes secundus
Lineage: Eukaryota; Metazoa; Arthropoda; Insecta; Blattodea; Kalotermitidae
Exons: 4
Source: RefSeq, a predicted model, not a curated record